This 841-nucleotide small RNA is filed under the name Pongo abelii (Sumatran orangutan). RNAcentral describes it as "processed transcript". The record is from RNAcentral. Lineage: Eukaryota; Metazoa; Chordata; Mammalia; Primates; Hominidae.
AAGAAAAUGCCCCAGGCAUUCCUGUGGGGGCCGUCGCCGGCAUCGUGACCGGGGUCCUGGUCGAAGUGGCGCUGGUGGCCGCCCUGGUGUGUUUCCUGCUCUUUGCCAAAACUGGAAGUGAGGGGGAUUUGCAGGCUCCAGAUCCUGGGCACCAUCAUACAAUGGGGAGUGGACCAGCCUGGACAGGCUGGGUGGGGUCAGCGCCCCCCAUGGCUGAUGUGGUAACCAUAGGCCCUGAGGUGUGAGAUGGGAGAACCUGGGCCUCAGAACAGCAUGUCCUGGAGCAUCCUUUGUGUCUCUUGCCAAGGGGUUGAGAGAGAGGACAAGGACACUGUCCCAUUUCAGCCCUGAGUGCAGGGUCUGGCCACAGCAGGGACACUGAGUUCCAGGAGAAUCCAAGACACUUGCGGUCCCCUCCGUGUCCUGCACAUGUGGCCCUGCUUUCCCUCUGGGGACUUGACCCUUCCUCUCAGGCAAACCGUCAUGGUCUGUUUCCUUCCUUGGGUCCUCAUUCCCUUUCCUGGGUCCCUGGGUCAAUGUUCUCCUGGCCCGGCAUCUGCCUGAGGGUCCUUCCCCUCUGCUCAGGACAGAUGUGACUUCCUAAAGCCUUUCCUCAACUCCCCUCUGCUGGGCUCCCCCUAACACAAACCUGAGGGAGACAGGAGGUCUCCAUGCCCAUCCUUGAAAAUGGGGUUCCCUUCUUGUCCCCUGUUCUAACUCCAAAGUUGUGGCUUUUAACCCGGCACCCUCCCAAAUGACCCUGACCUUUCCUAGAACCAGCAUCCAGCGUGACCUCAAGGAGCAGCAGCCCCAAGCCCUUGCCCCUGGUGAGUGUCCUCUC